RNAcentral lists this ribosomal RNA (2931 nucleotides) under Escherichia coli. Its description in RNAcentral is "23S ribosomal RNA". It matches the Rfam family "Bacterial large subunit ribosomal RNA". Lineage: Bacteria; Pseudomonadati; Pseudomonadota; Gammaproteobacteria; Enterobacterales; Enterobacteriaceae. The record is from RNAcentral.
GGGUUGUGAGGUUAAGCGACUAAGCGUACACGGUGGAUGCCCUGGCAGUCAGAGGCGAUGAAGGACGUGCUAAUCUGCGAUAAGCGUCGGUAAGGUGAUAUGAACCGUUAUAACCGGCGAUUUCCGAAUGGGGAAACCCAGUGUGAUUCGUCACACUAUCAUUAACUGAAUCCAUAGGUUAAUGAGGCGAACCGGGGGAACUGAAACAUCUAAGUACCCCGAGGAAAAGAAAUCAACCGAGAUUCCCCCAGUAGCGGCGAGCGAACGGGGAGCAGCCCAGAGCCUGAAUCAGUGUGUGUGUUAGUGGAAGCGUCUGGAAAGGCGUGCGAUACAGGGUGACAGCCCCGUACACAAAAAUGCACAUAUUGUGAGCUCGAUGAGUAGGGCGGGACACGUGGUAUCCUGUCUGAAUAUGGGGGGACCAUCCUCCAAGGCUAAAUACUCCUGACUGACCGAUAGUGAACCAGUACCGUGAGGGAAAGGCGAAAAGAACCCCGGCGAGGGGAGUGAAAAAGAACCUGAAACCGUGUACGUACAAGCAGUGGGAGCACGCUUAGGCGUGUGACUGCGUACCUUUUGUAUAAUGGGUCAGCGACUUAUAUUCUGUAGCAAGGUUAACCGAAUAGGGGAGCCGAAGGGAAACCGAGUCUUAACUGGGCGUUAAGUUGCAGGGUAUAGACCCGAAACCCGGUGAUCUAGCCAUGGGCAGGUUGAAGGUUGGGUAACACUAACUGGAGGACCGAACCGACUAAUGUUGAAAAAUUAGCGGAUGACUUGUGGCUGGGGGUGAAAGGCCAAUCAAACCGGGAGAUAGCUGGUUCUCCCCGAAAGCUAUUUAGGUAGCGCCUCGUGAAUUCAUCUCCGGGGGUAGAGCACUGUUUCGGCAAGGGGGUCAUCCCGACUUACCAACCCGAUGCAAACUGCGAAUACCGGAGAAUGUUAUCACGGGAGACACACGGCGGGUGCUAACGUCCGUCGUGAAGAGGGAAACAACCCAGACCGCCAGCUAAGGUCCCAAAGUCAUGGUUAAGUGGGAAACGAUGUGGGAAGGCCCAGACAGCCAGGAUGUUGGCUUAGAAGCAGCCAUCAUUUAAAGAAAGCGUAAUAGCUCACUGGUCGAGUCGGCCUGCGCGGAAGAUGUAACGGGGCUAAACCAUGCACCGAAGCUGCGGCAGCGACGCUUAUGCGUUGUUGGGUAGGGGAGCGUUCUGUAAGCCUGCGAAGGUGUGCUGUGAGGCAUGCUGGAGGUAUCAGAAGUGCGAAUGCUGACAUAAGUAACGAUAAAGCGGGUGAAAAGCCCGCUCGCCGGAAGACCAAGGGUUCCUGUCCAACGUUAAUCGGGGCAGGGUGAGUCGACCCCUAAGGCGAGGCCGAAAGGCGUAGUCGAUGGGAAACAGGUUAAUAUUCCUGUACUUGGUGUUACUGCGAAGGGGGGACGGAGAAGGCUAUGUUGGCCGGGCGACGGUUGUCCCGGUUUAAGCGUGUAGGCUGGUUUUCCAGGCAAAUCCGGAAAAUCAAGGCUGAGGCGUGAUGACGAGGCACUACGGUGCUGAAGCAACAAAUGCCCUGCUUCCAGGAAAAGCCUCUAAGCAUCAGGUAACAUCAAAUCGUACCCCAAACCGACACAGGUGGUCAGGUAGAGAAUACCAAGGCGCUUGAGAGAACUCGGGUGAAGGAACUAGGCAAAAUGGUGCCGUAACUUCGGGAGAAGGCACGCUGAUAUGUAGGUGAAGUCCCUCGCGGAUGGAGCUGAAAUCAGUCGAAGAUACCAGCUGGCUGCAACUGUUUAUUAAAAACACAGCACUGUGCAAACACGAAAGUGGACGUAUACGGUGUGACGCCUGCCCGGUGCCGGAAGGUUAAUUGAUGGGGUUAGCGCAAGCGAAGCUCUUGAUCGAAGCCCCGGUAAACGGCGGCCGUAACUAUAACGGUCCUAAGGUAGCGAAAUUCCUUGUCGGGUAAGUUCCGACCUGCACGAAUGGCGUAAUGAUGGCCAGGCUGUCUCCACCCGAGACUCAGUGAAAUUGAACUCGCUGUGAAGAUGCAGUGUACCCGCGGCAAGACGGAAAGACCCCGUGAACCUUUACUAUAGCUUGACACUGAACAUUGAGCCUUGAUGUGUAGGAUAGGUGGGAGGCUUUGAAGUGUGGACGCCAGUCUGCAUGGAGCCGACCUUGAAAUACCACCCUUUAAUGUUUGAUGUUCUAACGUUGACCCGUAAUCCGGGUUGCGGACAGUGUCUGGUGGGUAGUUUGACUGGGGCGGUCUCCUCCUAAAGAGUAACGGAGGAGCACGAAGGUUGGCUAAUCCUGGUCGGACAUCAGGAGGUUAGUGCAAUGGCAUAAGCCAGCUUGACUGCGAGCGUGACGGCGCGAGCAGGUGCGAAAGCAGGUCAUAGUGAUCCGGUGGUUCUGAAUGGAAGGGCCAUCGCUCAACGGAUAAAAGGUACUCCGGGGAUAACAGGCUGAUACCGCCCAAGAGUUCAUAUCGACGGCGGUGUUUGGCACCUCGAUGUCGGCUCAUCACAUCCUGGGGCUGAAGUAGGUCCCAAGGGUAUGGCUGUUCGCCAUUUAAAGUGGUACGCGAGCUGGGUUUAGAACGUCGUGAGACAGUUCGGUCCCUAUCUGCCGUGGGCGCUGGAGAACUGAGGGGGGCUGCUCCUAGUACGAGAGGACCGGAGUGGACGCAUCACUGGUGUUCGGGUUGUCAUGCCAAUGGCACUGCCCGGUAGCUAAAUGCGGAAGAGAUAAGUGCUGAAAGCAUCUAAGCACGAAACUUGCCCCGAGAUGAGUUCUCCCUGACUCCUUGAGAGUCCUGAAGGAACGUUGAAGACGACGACGUUGAUAGGCCGGGUGUGUAAGCGCAGCGAUGCGUUGAGCUAACCGGUACUAAUGAACCGUGAGGCUUAACCUUACAACGCCGAAGGUGUUU